AGCAGCCGCGGUAAUUCCAGCUCCAAUAGCGUAUAUUAAAGUUGUUGCAGUUAAAAAGCUCGUAGUUGAAUUUCGGGGUUCUACCGUUGGUCGGGCUUUGUCUGUACUGGCGUGUAGAAUUUCUACCUUCUGGGGAACCAUCAUGUUAUUAAUUUAACGUGGUGGGAAACCAGGACCUUUACCUUGAAAAAAUUAGAGUGUUCAAAGCAGGCUUAUGUCUGAAUACAUUAGCAUGGAAUAAUAGAAUAGGACGGUGGUCCUGUUUUGUUGGUUUCUGAAUCACCGUAAUGAUUAAUAGGGAUAGUUGGGGGCAUUAGUAUUCAAUUGUCAGAGGUGAAAUUCUUGGAUUUAG
RNAcentral lists this ribosomal RNA (352 nucleotides) under uncultured Racocetra. Its description in RNAcentral is "SSU rRNA". It matches the Rfam family "Eukaryotic small subunit ribosomal RNA", at positions 569 to 929 of the family's 1831-position model. Lineage: Eukaryota; Fungi; Glomeromycota; Glomeromycetes; Diversisporales; Gigasporaceae. The record is from RNAcentral.